This 429-nucleotide ribosomal RNA is filed under the name uncultured prokaryote. Its description in RNAcentral is "bacterial SSU rRNA". It matches the Rfam family "Bacterial small subunit ribosomal RNA", at positions 355 to 796 of the family's 1533-position model. The record is from RNAcentral.
UGGGGAAUCUUGCUCAAUGGGCGAAAGCCUGAAGCAGCGACGCCGCGUGUGGGAAGAAGGUCUUCGGAUUGUAAACCACUUUCGGGAGGGAAGAAGCGCAAGUGACGGUACCUCCAAAAGAAGGCCCGGCCAACUACGUGCCAGCAGCCGCGGUAAUACGUAGGGGCCUAGCGUUGUCCGGAAUUAUUGGGCGUAAAGAGCGUGUAGGCGGCCUGGUAAGUCUGUCGUGAAAUGCUGGGGCUCAACCCUGGACGUGCGAUGGAUACUGCUUGGCUAGAGGAUGGUAGAGGCGAGUGGAAUUCCCGGUGUAGCGGUGAAAUGCGCAGAUAUCGGGAGGAACACCAGUAGCGAAGGCGGCUCGCUGGGCCAUACCUGACGCUGAGACGCGAAAGCAUGGGGAGCGAACAGGAUUAGAUACCCGUGUAGUCC